UACGGAAGGCAGCAGUGGGGAAUAUUGCACAAUGGGCGCAAGCCUGAUGCAGCCAUGCCGCGUGUAUGAAGAAGGCCUUCGGGUUGUAAAGUACUUUCAGUCGUGAGGAAGGUGUUAAGGUUAAUAACCUUAGCAAUUGACGUUAGCGACAGAAGAAGCACCGGCUAACUCCGUGCCAGCAGCCGCGGUAAUACGGAGGGUGCGAGCGUUAAUCGGAAUUACUGGACGUAAAGGGCACGCAGGCGGUUAAUUAAGUUGGAUGUGAAUCCCCGGGCUUAACCUGGGAAUGGCAUUCAAGACUGGUUAGCUAGAGUCUUGUAGAGGGGGUAGAAUUCCAUGUGUAGCGGUGAAAUGCGUAGAGAUGUGGAGGAAUACCGGGUGGCGAAGGCGGCCCCUGGGACAAGACUGACGCUCAUGUGCGAAAGCGUGGGGAGCAAACGAGGAUUAGAUACC
Molecule: ribosomal RNA, 453 nt
Filed under: uncultured bacterium
Lineage: Bacteria
Description: bacterial SSU rRNA
Rfam family: Bacterial small subunit ribosomal RNA
Source: RNAcentral